This is a long non-coding RNA of Oreochromis aureus, 398 nucleotides long. RefSeq lists it as uncharacterized. The record is from RefSeq and is a predicted model, not a curated record. NCBI's taxonomy places the organism in Eukaryota, Metazoa, Chordata, Actinopteri, Cichliformes, Cichlidae. The transcript is spliced from 3 exons.
UGUCACAGAAAUGGCUUAUGUAUAAGAAGUUUAAUAGAUGGUUCCAGCAGUUAAAAUGUUCUUGCUUGUACAGUUUUGUGGACAAUAUUGUAAAGGUGUGUUUAUCUUGUAUAGGAGACAUGUUUAUCUUGUCACAAAGAACAAGUUUUAUUACACCGCUAUUAUCGCGAGGUUUGGGGCGUGACAAUAUAGACUGUGAGCCCACGUUGAUAAUCACGCUAAGGAGUUCAGCGAGCUAUCUGCAAAGGCCUGGUUAGUCUACCAGCUGUACAAGAAGGCACAAGACUGUAAAGAUAUUCUUCUAGAACCUCCGAAGUGGCAGGCGGCCACGAGUUUUCACGGCGUUCAAUAAAUGCAGCGAAGCGCCCGUCUUGAAGAAGCCGUGCCUGUGUUGUCAU